CGCGUAGGCGGACUAUUAAGUCAGGGGUGAAAUCCCGGGGCUCAACCCCGGAACUGCCCUUGAUACUGGUAGUCUUGAGUUCGAGAGAGGUGAGUGGAACUCCGAGUGUAGAGGUGAAAUUCGUAGAUAUUCGGAAGAACACCAGUGGCGAAGGCGGCUCACUGGCUCGAUACUGACGCUGAGGUGCGAAAGUGUGGGGAGCAAACAGGAUUAGAUACCCUGGUAGUCC
RNAcentral lists this ribosomal RNA (229 nucleotides) under uncultured bacterium. RNAcentral's name for it is "partial 16S ribosomal RNA". It matches the Rfam family "Bacterial small subunit ribosomal RNA", at positions 568 to 796 of the family's 1533-position model. The record is from RNAcentral.